Molecule: ribosomal RNA, 486 nt
Filed under: uncultured beta proteobacterium
Lineage: Bacteria; Pseudomonadati; Pseudomonadota; Betaproteobacteria
Description: bacterial SSU rRNA
Rfam family: Bacterial small subunit ribosomal RNA
Source: RNAcentral
GAGUUUGAUCCUGGCUCAGAUUGAACGCUGGCGGCAUGCCUUACACAUGCAAGUCGAACGGCAGCGCGGGAGCAAUCCUGGCGGCGAGUGGCGAACGGGUGAGUAAUAUAUCGGAACGUGCCCAGUAGUGGGGGAUAGCCCGGCGAAAGCCGGAUUAAUACCGCAUACGACCUGAGGGUGAAAGCGGGGGAUCGCAAGACCUCGCGCUACUGGAGCGGCCGAUAUCAGAUUAGCUAGUUGGUGGGGUAAAGGCCUACCAAGGCAACGAUCUGUAGUUGGUCUGAGAGGACGACCAGCCACACUGGGACUGAGACACGGCCCAGACUCCUACGGGAGGCAGCAGUGGGGAAUUUUGGACAAUGGGCGCAAGCCUGAUCCAGCAAUGCCGCGUGCAGGAAGAAGGCCUUCGGGUUGUAAACUGCUUUUGUCAGGGAAGAAAUCUUCUGGGCUAAUACCCCGGGAGGAUGACGGUAUCCUGAAGAAUAA